ACAGGAAAUACAACAGCUUUCAAGUUGUUUCUCCUUCUUUUCUGUCCAAUUUCAGCCCUUAGCUUCAUAAAAUUACAGGCAUGUCCAGAAGUAGUGAAAUUUUAGUGUGGCUACAAUAACUUAAAGAUCAGAAACGGGAUAAUUAUGGAUUUUUUUUUUACCAUGGUUAUGUUUAAAUUACACAUCAGGCACAUUCAGCAGCUAGCGAAACACUUUAUGAGUAAAUAAGAUGGGUAAACUAAGGGAGGUAAGGAAAACAUGGAUAAGAAUAGGCCACAUGAGGGAUGGAGAUCUGACAGGCAAUGUGGAUUUGAAUUAAAAGGCCACAAAUAGAAUUCAUUCAGAAGGUUGUAGCACCUUCGGAAACCAUCUUUGGUGGACAAGUCUCCUCUGGAAGGAGAAAGGAAAAGAAAUAGA
This is a long non-coding RNA of Candoia aspera, 417 nucleotides long. RefSeq lists it as uncharacterized. The transcript has 2 exons. The record is from RefSeq and is a predicted model, not a curated record. NCBI's taxonomy places the organism in Eukaryota, Metazoa, Chordata, Lepidosauria, Squamata, Candoiidae.